GGAGGAGGAGGGAGGAAGAAGAAGAAGAAGAAGAGGAGGAGGAAGAGGAAGAGGAGGAAGAGGGGGAAAAGAAGGAGGAGAAGGAGGAGGAGGAGAAGAAGGAGAAGGAGGAGAAGGAAAAGGAGGAGAAGAAGGGGAGGAGGAAGAGGAGUCUAGGAGUCUGACAGAACAUAAUGAUUAAAACACCAGUGGAAGAGUCAGACUAACCAGGGCCCAAGCCCCAGCUCUGUGUUCAGUUCCCUCCAUUCUGUAAAAUGGGUCUGAUCAGAGUACAAGCUCAUGGAGUGGCUGACAUGGUUAACUGAGCCCCUGUGGAUUAAGUGCUUAGCACAGAAUCUGACACACUAUGAAUACUGAUUAACUGUGUUGUGGUGAAGAACCUGGAAAAUCAGAGCCCUGGAGAGGAACAAAGAAAGAAAAUCAUUUGGGAGAUUGGAGCAGAUUCAUGGGACACAGAGAGGGAGGCUCCUGUUCUGGAGUGAGUCGCAGGGGAGGCCUGGAUCACGCUUACCACCAACAGUGGUAUUUGCAAGUCCCCAUCAUGGCCUCUAUAUUCUUUGCAGAUAUCAGUCUUAUACCAGUCUCUGUCCAGAAGCUUAGAGUCUAAUAAUAAAUCUGAUUAAAACAAAACACCUCCUCUGACCAUGCCACUCACAGGAUUCACUUGGAAUUAAUUUAUCUAAUGGGUUAAUAUACUUACAUCAGCUUUUGCUAGCAGGAUUAGUGCCUGGAAAUCCAAUGCUAGUGUUUCCUGCUAGCUGUAAAUGGAAAUGAGAAUCAAUUUUUUUUCAGGGGGGGAUUACCAGGGAUUGAUCUCAGGGGCACUUGACCACUGAGCCACACCCCCAGCCCUGUUUUGUAUUUUAUUUAGAGACAAGGUCUCACUGAGUUGCUUAGCACCUCGCUUUUGCUGAGGUUGGCUUUGAACUCACGAUCCUCCUGCCUCAGCCUUCUGAACUGCUGGGAUUAUAGGUGUGUACCACCACACCCUGCGAGAAUCAAUAUUUAAAAAUUUUUUAUUCUAAUUUGUUAUACAUAACAGCAGAAUGCUUUACAAUUCAUAUUAUACACAUAUCUCUGGAGAAUCAAUAUUUUUGCUGUAAGUUUCUUCUACAAAAAUUUCUCAGGGGCUGGGGAUAUAGCUCACUUGGUAGAGUGCUUGCCUCACAUGCACAAGGCCCUGGGUUCCAUCCCUAGGACCACACACACACACACACACACACACACACAGACAGAGUAAAAAAAUUUUUUUUCAAUGUAUAAUUUGAUAAACAAAAUGUAUAAUCUAUUGCAAUAUUUUAGUAAUAUAAGUGAACUUUAUACACUCUCAACUGUAUCUUUCAUUAUUUUUUUUUAAAGGGGAAAGAUUAGGGGACGGGGUUGUGGCUCAGUGUUAGAGUACUUGCCUAGCAUGCGUGAGGCACUGGGUUCAAUCCCUAGCACCACAUAAAAAUAAAAACAAAUAAAAUAAAGGUAUUGUGUCCAUCUACAACUAAAAAAAAAUUUAAAAAGAGGAGUAACAUUCCAUUAUGUAUAUAUGCCACAUGAUUCAUGGUGGGAUAGGGAA
RNAcentral lists this long non-coding RNA (1567 nucleotides) under Marmota monax (woodchuck). The stretch from base 1377 to 1445 matches the Rfam family "tRNA". Lineage: Eukaryota; Metazoa; Chordata; Mammalia; Rodentia; Sciuridae. The record is from RNAcentral.